AUGUCCCAGUACCACUGGAAAUUCUCCUGUCCCGGUUACCCCAGGAGAUUCUCCUGUCCCGGUUCCUCCUGUCCCGGUUCCCCCUAUCCCGGUCCCACCAGGAGAUUCUCCUGUCCCGGUACCAUCGGGAGUCAUUCCAGCCCCGUUUUUCCCGGAGGAUGCUCCACGCCCGGUUCUCUCCUGUCCCGGUUCCCGCUGUCCCGGCACUCCCGGGAGAUUCUCCUGUCCCGCUUCCCCCUAUCCCGGUCCCACCAGGAGAUUCUCCUGUCCCGGUGCCCCCAUCCCGGUCCCACCGGGAGUCGUUCCAGCCCCGUUUUUCCCGGAGGACGCUCAACGCCCGGUUCCCUCCUCCCCUGUCCCGGUGCCCCCAGGAGAUUCUCCUGUCCCGGUUCGUCCUGUCUCGGUAGUCCCGGGAAAUUCUCCUUUCCUCGUUCCUCCUAUCCUGGUCCCCCUGGUACCGGUCCCACCCGGAGUUUCUCCUGUCACGGUCCCUCUGUCCCGGUUUCCCCUGUCCCGGUUCGCCUGUCCCGGUACCCUCGGGGGAUUCUCCUGUCCCGCUCCCACCGGGCUAAUCUCCUGUCCCGGUUCGUCCUGUCCCGGUUCCACCAGGAGAUUCUCCUGCCCCGGUGCCCCGUGUUCCGGCGUCCCCAGGAGAUUUUCCUGUCCCGGUCCCCCUGUCCCGGUUCCCCCUGUUCGAGGAUUUCCGGGAGAUUCUCCUGUCCCGGUUCCCCUUGUCCCCGUUGCCCCUGUCCCUGUUGCCCCAGGAGUUUUCCAGCCCCGUUUUUCCCGGAGGACGCUCCGUUCCCGGUUCCCCCCUCCCCUGCCCUGCCCCUCUCGCGGCCCGGGGCGGGCUCGGGGCGGCGGGGGCGGCCCCGGUGGGCGGGCGGGGGCGCGGGGAGCCCGGCCCCGCUCCGGUUCCGCCUACAAAGGGCUCGGGCCGGGCGGGCCCCGCUCACAGCGCCGGGACCCCGCACCCAUGGGCGGCUGCCGGGCCCCGCCGCCGCCCGGGGCGGCUCCUCGCCCUCCUCGGCCCCCGGUACCGGCCAGCGCCGGCGGGACACAGCCCGGGGACUGAGGGAAAUCCCGGGAAGAGGCCGCGGGAAGCUCGGGAAAUCCCGAAGGGUGAGCGGGGACGGGGCGGGGGGACACGGAGCGCCGGGAGGGGAGCGGGGUGGGCGGAGAGGGAGGUGCUCCGGUUCUCCCGGGGGUGCUCCAGUCCCGAAUCCCUCUGUCCCGGUUCUCCCGGGAUGCUCCAGUCCCGAAUUCCUGUGUCCCGGUUGUCCCGGGGGAUGCUCCAGUCCCGAAUUCCUCUGUCCCGGUUCUCCCUGUCCCCGUGGCCCCGGUUCCUGUCCCUGUUCCUAUCCCGGUUCUCCCUGUCCCCGUUUCCCCGGGGGAAGUUCCUGCCCCGAAUCCUUGUAG
This 1419-nucleotide long non-coding RNA is filed under the name Junco hyemalis (dark-eyed junco). RNAcentral's name for it is "lncRNA (ENSJHYG00000008273.1)". Lineage: Eukaryota; Metazoa; Chordata; Aves; Passeriformes; Passerellidae. The record is from RNAcentral.